Hypanus sabinus (Atlantic stingray) is the source of this 1243-nucleotide long non-coding RNA. RefSeq lists it as uncharacterized. The record is from RefSeq and is a predicted model, not a curated record. The transcript is spliced from 5 exons. NCBI's taxonomy places the organism in Eukaryota, Metazoa, Chordata, Chondrichthyes, Myliobatiformes, Dasyatidae.
AGUCUCGCGACGCCUCGGGUCUGGCGCGCGAGCGGCGAGCUCAGUGCGCGCGGAGUGCGCGUUUCCGGCUGCCGCAUCGGAGGGAAGCGCGGUCGGCGAAAGGCGAACGAGGUGAGGCGAGUUCAGCGUCGUGAAACUCCUCACGCAAGCAGGCAUCACAGAAAGAGCUGUACACUGCCAGCUCGAUCCUCUCCGCCGUCGGGAAACGGCGCCACCAUUGGGCUGGAGGUAGACCCACACCCGACGAUUCUUACCCGCUGCCGUCAGAUUUGUGAACGGUCCCCGAGCAUCAGCUCUUCCUUGUUACAGUUUACAAAGCUUUUACAUCGAGAUUCCUGAUGGUGGAAAGUACUACAUCAAUAAUGUCCUGUCCGAAUCACUAAAUGGAACUCAGAGUUAUUUGUGACCCAAUGAGAAGUCAAUGACGGCAUAUCUGUGCAAUGAGGAGGAAGUCUCUGAUCAGCAAAGCCUGGCAUCACAGUCGUAAAAAAGUGGACAGGGCUUCAGUUCAAUUCUCUGUUGUAACGUCCCCAAGGGAUUUCAAGAGAUUAACACGAGAACAGUCAACGAAUUCCUUUCAAAUAAGGAUUAAAUCAGGUCGAACCCAUUUCACCGUUGGGAACCGUUUUUCCCCGUUGGAGUGGGAAUCUCUAAAGUUGCCCGAACUUUUGCCUGAACAGGAGCUACCUUACCUUGACCCACAACAUAACCAAGGAAGUCUGCCACUGGGACCACCCUACCGGCUUGGCUGACGUCCCCAGGGCCAGUGCUGCUCCGGAAACCUGUGAGGAGCAAUAAAUACUCCCCGCUGGUCGAGAGGGUUCACCUUCUACAUGCGAACACCCAGUAUGCUUACGUGGUCUUACCUGAUGGGCGGGAGGACACGGUCUUCGUCCGCGACCUGGCACCCGCAGGAGCAUCAGACCACUGCCCCGAAUACUCCACGGUAACUAUGAACCCUGUACCCGAGGUGACACCACGCACACUGAGCCCUACACAGAGUCCUCACGACACUCCUAUACCGGGCGUCUCGUACGCACGUAUACCAGGCACCUCACACAAGCAUGAGGGAUCACUGAUGCCUAGUGAGCUGACACCUCCAGUUAGACCGGAACCAGCACAACCACCGUCUCCGGUGCAAUCACCUCCGGCACCUGUGCAAUCACAGCCGGUGCUAUGUAGAUCGCAGCGACAGAUUCGACCACCUGAUAGACUUAACCUGUAAAUAUACUUGUAAGAAACU